UACGGGGGGGGCAAGCGUUGUUCGGAAUUACUGGGCGUAAAGGGCUCGUAGGUGGCCAACUAAGUCAGACGUGAAAUCCCUCGGCUUAACCGGGGAACUGCGUCUGAUACUGGAUGGCUUGAGUGUGGGAGAGGGAUGCGGAAUUCCAGGUGUAGCGGUGAAAUGCGUAGAUAUCUGGAGGAACACCGGUGGCGAAGGCGGCAUCCUGGACCGGCACUGACGCUGAGGAGCGAAAGCCAGGGGAGCAAACGGG
Molecule: ribosomal RNA, 253 nt
Filed under: uncultured bacterium
Lineage: Bacteria
Description: partial 16S ribosomal RNA
Rfam family: Bacterial small subunit ribosomal RNA
Source: RNAcentral